RNAcentral lists this ribosomal RNA (156 nucleotides) under Ophiostoma montium. RNAcentral's name for it is "5.8S ribosomal RNA". It matches the Rfam family "5.8S ribosomal RNA". From Rfam's summary of the family: 5.8S ribosomal RNA (5.8S rRNA) is a component of the large subunit of the eukaryotic ribosome. It is transcribed by RNA polymerase I as part of the 45S precursor that also contains 18S and 28S rRNA. Lineage: Eukaryota; Fungi; Ascomycota; Sordariomycetes; Ophiostomatales; Ophiostomataceae. The record is from RNAcentral.
ACUUUCAACAACGGAUCUCUUGGCUCUGGCAUCGAUGAAGAACGCAGCGAAAUGCGAUACGUAAUGCGAAUUGCAGAAUUCAGCGAGUCAUCGAAUCUUUGAACGCACAUUGCGCCCGCCAGUAUUCUGGCGGGCAUGCCUGUCCAAGCGUCAUUU